RNAcentral lists this ribosomal RNA (459 nucleotides) under uncultured bacterium. Its description in RNAcentral is "partial 16S ribosomal RNA". It matches the Rfam family "Bacterial small subunit ribosomal RNA", at positions 339 to 795 of the family's 1533-position model. The record is from RNAcentral.
CUACGGGCGGCAGCAGUAAGGAAUAUUGGUCAAUGGACGAAAGUCUGAACCAGCCAUGCCGCGUGCAGGAUGACAGCCCUAUGGGUUGUAAACUGCUUUUAUACGGGAAGAACUCCCUGUACGUGUACAGGGUUGACGGUACCGUACGAAUAAGGAUCGGCUAACUCCGUGCCAGCAGCCGCGGUAAUACGGAGGAUCCAAGCGUUAUCCGGAUUCAUUGGGUUUAAAGGGUGCGUAGGCGGAAUGAUAAGUUAGUGGUGAAAGCCCCCGGCGCAACCGGGGAACUGCAAUUAAUACUGUCAUGCUUGAGUAUAGUUGAAGUGGGCGGAAUGUAUCAUGUAGCGGUGAAAUGCUUAGAUAUGAUACAGAACACCGAUAGCGUAGGCAGCUUGCUAAGCUAUAACUGACGCUCAGGCACGAAAGCGUGGGGAUCAAACAGGAUUAGAUACCCCAGUAGUC